UGAUAACAGGGAGGCCCAAGGCCUAAACUGAAAAAAUUAAAAACAAAAGAAGACCCAAAAACUCCUUAACCCAUGUCCCAAAAGUUCCUUCUUUCCUCAUCCUCACCCAAGACAUUCGCAACUUCCAACGGGAUCUGAAGGCACGGCCGACACUCCUUGUUCAUAGCUGUCCAGAAGCUUAGUUUCGUCAUGACAUCAGCACACUGAUCACCAGAUCUGCGUACUAGGGAUACUCAUUGUCUACAAGGAGCUACAGCUUCUCUUACCAUUCUUACACAGUCAGCAGGCUUCUCCCCUACAACCUCCUUUCCUUUUGGAGCAACAAAAAGCUCCUCAGAAUCAGUUUCCUCUGCUCGAUCCAUCAGAACUCACCUUGAUCCAACCUUCAGCUGGAACUACUCAAACCAUUCUCACUUCUUCCUCUCUUACCUCACCGGGGUUCCUCUGGAAGGAUUUAGCUUUAACUAUGUCCGUUGCAAAGCUCCAGAUUUGCCAACCUUCCAGAUCCUUUCUUUGAUGUUCGAAGAUCUGCAAAUUACGCUGCUUCCAGAUUCUCUAGCAAGCUCCACCAAACACAAACAUUCCACGAUUCUGUGUCCUUAUCCUCCUGUGGAAAGAUUGUUCAUUUUCUCUUCAUUAUUUUGUUCCUCGUCAAAUUAAAAAAACAAGGAGGUUUCUUUGUUAAACAACAUUGAAAUCUCUACUAAAAGAGUUUGUGUGCUUUACUUCUGCUGUGAAGAAUCUUUUCAUUUUUUUUGUUUAUCACUUAGGAUUGCUCCACAUUUAAAAAACAAAAAAAAAAAAGAAAAGAAAAAGAAAAGGAGGUCUUUGUCCAGCAACAUUGAAGUCUCACCAAAAAAAAAACGAUUUACUGUUCUUCUGCUCUGAAGGAUCUU
Molecule: long non-coding RNA, 896 nt
Organism: Neltuma alba
Lineage: Eukaryota; Viridiplantae; Streptophyta; Magnoliopsida; Fabales; Fabaceae
Exons: 4
Source: RefSeq, a predicted model, not a curated record